UCUGGUUUGAUCAAGCUAUUCAAUUGCCAUGUUAUUCGUGUUGUAGAUUGCAAAUGUACCAAUUUACAUGCAAGAGGUGUAUGGAGUGCUUGCUUAAAAAUUUCCAUAUUAUGGUCACAUUAUUUCACAUGCACCACUUAUGUAAUACUAGUAAAUGCAUUUUCAUAUAUAUGUAAGUGUACUCAUGCAUGUGAUUAUGUUACCAGUGAAGGCAAAUUUGGUGGGAGUGUAAAGGCACUUCAUACACCGUGCGGUUGUAAUUGUCUAUUUGGCAUUCCAUAAUUUUAUCGUCUGCGAAGAUUGUAAUUUUUGGCCCAAAACUGGGGCACGUUAUGGCGAUGGAAAAGGAAUUGCAUCGUUAAUCGGCAUAUUAUUUAUGCCUGCCUGAGACUUUGGUAACAAGUGGCACAGUGUUUUUACGGGAAUCUAAGGAACAAAGUGAAUCAGCAAGCCAAAGAGUCAGCUUUGACCAUAAUGAAGAGACUAGAUUCAAUAAAGCUGUUUUGACUAUUGUUUACCCAGUA
Molecule: long non-coding RNA, 524 nt
Organism: Lytechinus pictus (painted urchin)
Lineage: Eukaryota; Metazoa; Echinodermata; Echinoidea; Temnopleuroida; Toxopneustidae
Exons: 2
Source: RefSeq, a predicted model, not a curated record